Molecule: transfer RNA, 57 nt
Filed under: Hemidactylus paucituberculatus
Lineage: Eukaryota; Metazoa; Chordata; Lepidosauria; Squamata; Gekkonidae
Description: tRNA-Ser
Source: RNAcentral
GAGAGAGUUCAACUAGACUGCUAACUAGCACCCAAGACUAACACUUUGGCUCUCUUA